Acinonyx jubatus (cheetah) is the source of this 3538-nucleotide long non-coding RNA. RefSeq lists it as uncharacterized. The transcript has 2 exons. The record is from RefSeq and is a predicted model, not a curated record. NCBI's taxonomy places the organism in Eukaryota, Metazoa, Chordata, Mammalia, Carnivora, Felidae.
AAGGGCUUUACCGGUGUGUGGGGGCCACAAUUCAGACAGUAUCUGGCCACAGACCCUAGUCUAACCUCCCCCCAGAGUAGGCCCCUCACUUGCUCUGCCCUAUCUUUGCAUCCUGCUCAUCAAAUCAAAGCAGGGCAGUCCCAACUUGCCACCCUCCUGCUGUUUGCUAGCUCCCUCCCCGAAAAGCAAGCCUUAAGAAGCCCAAGAUUCUCCUAGCGAGCCCGUUUCAAAUGCUGAUUCCCAGGCCUCGUCACCAGAAGGCCCACUCAGAGGGGACUGGUGUGGAAUCCCAGAAGCAGCAUUGUUAAGCAGCCGCCCAGUGACCUCGAUCCUGUUUUAGGAGCCUCCUGGAUGCAGCAUGGAAGUCCGAGAUGACGCCCUGACCUGGGGCAGGGAGGGACAGCCAGGGACAGCCAGUGCCAUCCCGGAGGGGCCGUAGCUGCCCACAGCUGCCCGCAGCCUUUCCUCCUUUUCCCAGGCGGAGGCGAGCAGGCUAGGCUAGGGGCUUUGGCAAGGGGCUCCCUCCGUCUGCUGGCCAAAGGCGGACCCCUGGCCCGCCGGCAUUUGCUGCACACGGCAGGCGUGCGGGCCCCCAGGCCGGCCCCGCUGUCGCCUCCCGUCACAGCCGUCUGCUGGGGAGCCAGACGCGGAUAUAAAUAACAGCGAGGCCAGGCCGGAUGAAGUCAGACUUUGGGACAAGAGAAGUAUCUGCCCAGGCCUCCUGUGUGCUGCUCAGAUUCAGUGGAAGCCUCAGUCCCUUCAUCUGCAAAACGGAGAUGAUCACACUUCCCUCCUUCGCCUCCCGCCUGGACUGUGGGUCCACGUCAUUAUGCUCAUUUUACCUUCCAGCAGGUGAGAAUUGGUGUCCUUUUACAGUUGAGGAAACCAGGAGGUGGAGUAAACUCUUCCAGGUAGGGUGACCCAACUGUCCUGGUUUGCCCUGAACGGAGGGGUUUCCUGGGACACAGCACUUUCAUUGGGAAAACUGGGAGUCACCAUACCUAUAGGACACACACCUCACAGGUUAUGUUAUCUGAGUCCAAAGUCUGGCAGUCGGUCCAGACUGUAUUUCCCUCUAUCAAUAUUUGCUAAAUGAAUGAAUACAUCCCUCCCCACAACUGUCCUUUGCUGGGCACCUUGGCUCAUAUAUCCGGACGUAGUUUGGACUCUGCCAAAGUGAGCAUGGUCUCUGGGUUCAGCUGCUGAGUUCCUAGAACCCCCUCAGGCCCUCCCUGCUUCAUCUUGGCCUGAGGGAUUUCCCAUGGGCUUACUCAUUGGACUCUUACCCUUUUUCCCACAGGGGUGGGGAGCUACUUGCUCCUAAUAUCAGCUUGUGUUCCUUUGCUUCUUAAAGCUCAGUUUUCUCACAUAUAAAAUGAGGGUAAUAGGGCCCCUUGGGUGGCUCAGUCAGUUAAGCUCCCAACUUCAGCUUAGGUCAUGAUCUAGAAGUUCGUGAGUUCGAGCCCCGCGUUGGGCUCUGCGUUGACAGCUCAGAGCGUGGAGCCUGCUUCAGAUUCUGUGUGUGUGUGUCUCUCUCUCUCCUCCUCCCGGGCUCGCGCUCUUUCUCUCUCAAAAAUAGAUAAGCAUUAAAAAAUAAAAAACUAAAAUGAGGGUGAUAAAACCUGCCUUCAGGGUUGCUGCAGGGUUCGGGAGAAAUGUAGGUAAAGUUCCUGGCACACAGGAAGCCCUCAAUACAUAAAGGUUGUUAUUGUAGCUUAUUAAUGUAAUUAUAGCCAACUAUUCCAUCAAGUGCUUCUCCGUGAGGCAUGAGGGUCACCAUCCUAAAUGCUCUCCCUGCGUUCCAACCCAAAGAAGUAAGUGCCAUUUUUUCAGGUGAAAAUCUGAGUCUCAGAGAGGUGGUAACUGCCUGAGGUCACAGCAGGAAGGGGCAGGGCCAGCAUUCCGCAGGGUUCUGUACUUAGGUAGGACUUAGCUCAAGUGAUGGCAGCUGGGAAUGGUGUGCGGAAACUAAGGCACGCGGUGGGGAAGGAUGGCUGAGGUCCUCAACAGGGCACUGGGCCCCCGUGUCUCUCUCACAGACAAGCUGGUCCUCUCCUUGCCCAAGGUGGCAGGUCAGGUUGUAUGAAGAAGCCCUUUGCUCAGGCCAGGCUGUUCCCCACCCCCAGUCGGCCGGCUGCCCGUACCCUCUGCCAGCUACUGUUCCCUGUCGGCCAGCCAAGUUGUGGAGCAGUCCAGGACAUUGUGUCCAGAGAGAGGGCCAAGCAGGCCCCCCUACCGGUGGCUGAUGACCUCCCGCCCUGCCCCUCUGGGCCUCAGGCCAACCUGGCCUGUCCUCCGCCCUGGCAGAAGCAAGAGGCCAGAGCUGUCCUCCCAAAGGCCAGGACAGUGCCUCACCUCCUCCCGCCACCCCGCGAGCCCUGCUUGAGAGGGGUGCCCCCUGUUGCAACCCACGCCCUCUCUCCAAAAAGCAACCCUAAAGCCAGAGGGGUGGGCCCUCCAGGGUGUCUAUCAGGAGAAGCCAGCUGGGCUCCUGAGAAACCUGUUUUCCUACCGUUGGCAUUUCUCCUCUGCCUGUCUCCAAAUCCGGCUGAGCCAACGCAAGAGGCCCCCUUGGGCAGGGCGCUGACUGUGGGGGGGCUCAACCCUGUUUCCACACUUUAUGGCUAAGAGAGCUGAGCUGCAGAGAGAGGCCUGGAUUCUGGCAAAGCCGCACAACCCAGCUGAGGCUGCGCCAUGCGGAGCAGGAAGGGGCUGGAGGGCAGUGACUGGGAGGGGCAGUCUCCGAGGGGCGGGGGCGCACAAGAGACAAGAGGGACCCCUCCAGUCUUAGUUUAACUGCCGUCUGCUCAGAGCCCCCUUCUCUCACUUCCCCCCACCUAGUGUUCCUGCCUUGUCGCCCGUUCUGUUUCCCUGAGGAUAUUUCUCCACAUGGCUUCUGUUUGUUUAUCAGGUUUAUUGUGGGUCUUGCCCACCAGAACGUGAGCCUUGGUGAGGGCAGGGACUGUGUUGUCCCUGCUGCAUCUCCAGUGCCAAGAACACAGGGUUUUGCACACAGUAGGUCAAUAUAUGUUUGUGGAGCAAGCAAUUGAAUAUUGGCUGUGCCUUUUAGUCACCAGAAGCAAGAUAAUGGACAUAUCCAUCACCCCCAAGAGUUUUCUUGUUGCCGUUUUUAAUCCCUUUCUCCUGUCUCUUUCCCUCUUCCUCUCCUGUCUCAGGCAACCACUAAUCUGCUUUCUGUCACUACAUAAUUAGGUUCGCAUUUUGUAGAAUUUUCUACAAAUGGAUUCAAACAAUAUGUGGGUUUCUUUUUUUGGAUCUUUCACCCAUUUUAAUAGUUUGAGGUUCAUUCAUGUCGUUGCAUGCAUCAGAAGUUCAUUUCUUGGGGCGCCUGGAUGGCUCAGUCGGUUAAGCGUCCGACCCUUGGUUUUGGCUCAGGUCAUGAUCUCGUGGUUUUGUGAGUUCGAACCCCGCAUUUGUCUCUGCUGGCAUGCGGAGCCUGCUUGGGAUUCUCUCUACCUCUCUGCCUGCCCCUUCCCCACUCAUGCUAUCUCUGUCUCUCUCAAAAAUAACGAAAAAC